GACUAAGCCAUGCGAGUCAACUCGCAAGAGUGGCGCACGGCUCAGUAACACGUAGUCAAUCUACCCUGAGGACGGGGAUAACCCCGGGAAACUGGGGAUAAACCCCGAUAGGUCAUAGCUUCUGGAAUGGGCUAUGGCUCAAAUGCUAUAUGGCCUUAGGAUGGGACUGCGUCCGAUCAGGUUGUUGGUGGGGUAAUGGCCCACCAAGCCUAUAACCGGUACGGGCUCUGAGAGGAGGAGCCCGGAGAUGGGCACCGAGACAAGGGCCCAGGCCCUACGGGGCGCAGCAGGCGCGAAACCUCCGCUAUGCACGAAAGUGCGACGGGGCCACUCCGAGUGCCACCCGCUGAGGGUGGCUUUUGCCCAGUCCAAAAGGCUGGGCGAAUAAGGGGAGGGCAAGAUUGGUGUCAGCCGCCGCGGUAAUACCAACUCCCCGAGUGGUCGGGACGAUUAUUGGGCUUAAAGCGUCCGUAGCCGGUCGGGUGUGUCGUCGGUUAAAUCCGGCGUCUCAAGCGCCGGGCUGCCGGCGAUACUACCCGGCUAGGGAGCGGGAGAGGCGGCCGGUAUUCCCGGGGUAGGGGUAAAAUCCUCAGAUCCCGGGAGGACCAUCGGUGGCGAAGGCGGGCCGCUAGAACGCGUCCGACGGUGAGGGACGAAAGCUGGGGGAGCGAUCCGGAUUAGAUACCCGGGUAGUCCCAGCCGUAAACGAUGCAGGCUAGGGGU
Molecule: ribosomal RNA, 723 nt
Filed under: uncultured archaeon
Lineage: Archaea
Description: bacterial SSU rRNA
Rfam family: Archaeal small subunit ribosomal RNA
Source: RNAcentral